UUAAGCCAUGCGAGUCGAGAGGUGUAAGACCUCGGCAUACUGCUCAGUAACACGUGGUUAACCUGCCCUAAGGUGGAGAAUACUCCCGGGAAACUGGGGCUAAUGCUCCAUAGUGGAUAUGUCCUGGAAUGGUAUAUCCUCGAAAGAUCCGUCGCCUUAGGAUGGGACUGCGUCCGAUUAGGUUGUUGGCGGGGUAACGGCCCACCAAGCCAUUGAUCGGUACGGGUUGUGGGAGCAAGAUCCCGGAGAUGGAUUCUGAGACAUGAAUCCAGGCCCUACGGGGCGCAGCAGGCGCGCAAACUUUACAAUGCGAGCAAUCGUGAUAAGGAAACCCUGAGUGCCUGUCGAUGCAGGCUGUUCAUAUAUCUAAAUCAUAUGUGAAGAAAGGGCAGGGCAAGACCGGUGCCAGCCGCCGCGGUAAUACCGGCUGCUCGAGUGAUGGCCACUAUUACUGGGUUUAAAGCGUCCGUAGCUUGACUGUUAGGUCUCUUGGGAAAUCUUCACGCUCAACGUGAAGGCGUCUAAGAGAUACCGGCAGUCUUGGAACUGGGAGAGGUAAACCGUACUUCGGGGGUAGGAGUGAAAUCUUGUAAUCCUCGAGGGACGACCUAUGGCGAAGGCAGUUUACCAGAACAGCUUCGACAGUGAGGGACGAAAGCUGGGGGAGCAAACGGGAUUAGAUACCCCGGUAGUCCCAGCC
Molecule: ribosomal RNA, 700 nt
Filed under: uncultured archaeon
Lineage: Archaea
Description: bacterial SSU rRNA
Rfam family: Archaeal small subunit ribosomal RNA
Source: RNAcentral